ACAAAGUUUUAGGCAAAAGCAUAUCUCCUAACUUGAAAUUCCACCACAUAUUGAAGCCUACCCUAGUACUUAAUAACAGUUAUAUAUGAUCUUUGGAGACAGUAUUAGAGUCAUACUGGAAAACAAUAGGCAAUGCAAAAAUUGUAUAAUUUCAAUAUGUAGGGUAAAUGUGAUCUUUCACCAUUUUGUCGUGACUGGUUCUGUUAUAU
This 209-nucleotide long non-coding RNA is filed under the name Bos taurus (domestic cattle). RNAcentral describes it as "long non-coding RNA NONBTAT004198". Lineage: Eukaryota; Metazoa; Chordata; Mammalia; Artiodactyla; Bovidae. The record is from RNAcentral.